GACGGAGGAGGCAAGCGUUAUCCGGAAUUAUUGGGCGUAAAGCGUCCGUAGGCGGCUUUUUAAGUCUGUUGUCAAAGCCCACAGCUCAACUGUGGAUCGGCAAUGGAAACUGGGGAGCUAGAGUGUGGUAGGGGUAGAGGGAAUUCCCGGUGUAGCGGUGAAAUGCGUAGAUAUCGGGAAGAACACCAGUGGCGAAGGCGCUCUACUGGGCCAUAACUGACGCUGAUGGACGAAAGCUAGGGGAGCGAAAGGG
RNAcentral lists this ribosomal RNA (253 nucleotides) under uncultured cyanobacterium. RNAcentral describes it as "partial 16S ribosomal RNA". It matches the Rfam family "Bacterial small subunit ribosomal RNA", at positions 524 to 776 of the family's 1533-position model. Lineage: Bacteria; Bacillati; Cyanobacteriota. The record is from RNAcentral.